AGUCUAGCAUGUGCGCGAGUCAUUGGGACUCAAUAAACCUAAAGGCACAAUGAAAGUGAAAGUCUGUUUACGCGGACUUAGGGAAGAUAGGUGCGUACACUUGUGUACAACCUCGCACUCCCGGGGCGUCUCGCACUCAUUGCGAGGUGGGGCGCACCAAGAGCGUACACGCUGGGACCCGAAAGAUGGUGAACUAUGCCUGGUCAGGACGAAGUCAGGGGAAACCCUGAUGGAGGUCCGUAGCGAUUCUGACGUGCAAAUCGAUCGUCGGAACUGGGCUUAGGGGCGAAAGACUAAUCGAACCAUCUAGUAGCUGGUUCCCACCGAAGUUUCCCUCAGGAUAGCUGGCACUAGAUUAUGGAUGAGUCUCAUCCGGUAAAGCGAAUGAUUAGAGGCAUUGGGGUCGAAACGGCCUCAACCUAUUCUCAAACUUUAAAUGGGUGAGAUCUCCGGCUUGCUCGAUUUAUGAAGCCGGAGAUCGGAUCAAUUAGUGCCAAGUGGGCCACUUUUGGUAAGCAGAACUGGCGCUGUGGGAUGAACCAAACGCAGAGUUAAAGCGCCAAAAUCGACGCUUAUGGGAUACCAUGAAAGGCGUUGGUAACUUAAGACAGCAGGACGGUGGCCAUGGAAGUC
This 633-nucleotide ribosomal RNA is filed under the name Carabus cancellatus dolens. RNAcentral describes it as "eukaryotic LSU rRNA". It matches the Rfam family "Eukaryotic large subunit ribosomal RNA", at positions 672 to 1262 of the family's 3401-position model. Lineage: Eukaryota; Metazoa; Arthropoda; Insecta; Coleoptera; Carabidae. The record is from RNAcentral.